CGGGGCGGGCAUGGGGCGGCGCCGGUGGGGUCACAGGCCAUAGGAGGGGGGCGGUGGGGUGGGCGUGGCACACAACGGAACUGGCCGCCGGCCCGUGUGUGGGUGGGGAAAAGGAGGGAGGAGCCACGUGGACGCCGCCGCGAUCGCCCGUUGGGUCGGGUCGGGUCGGGUGGAGUCGCGCCGGGCGGAUUUUCUGGGUCCGGCUGAGGGCGGGGUCACGGGAUCGGGAUGCCGGCGUGGCCGAGACGAGAUGCCGAUUCCGGAGAAUAGCCGCGGUGUCGGGGUAGAUAUGCGGCAGCGGCGGCGAGGUGCUGAUUCCGACGAGUGGCCGCGUGGGAUAUGCCGGAGUAGC
This 352-nucleotide long non-coding RNA is filed under the name Hordeum vulgare. RNAcentral's name for it is "long non-coding RNA (HVUL_LNC011153)". Lineage: Eukaryota; Viridiplantae; Streptophyta; Magnoliopsida; Poales; Poaceae. The record is from RNAcentral.